RNAcentral lists this ribosomal RNA (603 nucleotides) under Aspergillus niger. RNAcentral describes it as "eukaryotic LSU rRNA". The stretch from base 219 to 372 matches the Rfam family "5.8S ribosomal RNA". The record is from RNAcentral. Lineage: Eukaryota; Fungi; Ascomycota; Eurotiomycetes; Eurotiales; Aspergillaceae.
CUUCCGUAGGGGAACCUGCGGAAGGAUCAUUACCGAGUGCGGGUCCUUUGGGCCCAACCUCCCAUCCGUGUCUAUUGUACCCUGUUGCUUCGGCGGGCCCGCCGCUUGUCGGCCGCCGGGGGGGCGCCUCUGCCCCCCGGGCCCGUGCCCGCCGGAGACCCCAACACGAACACUGUCUGAAAGCGUGCAGUCUGAGUUGAUUGAAUGCAAUCAGUUAAAACUUUCAACAAUGGAUCUCUUGGUUCCGGCAUCGAUGAAGAACGCAGCGAAAUGCGAUAACUAAUGUGAAUUGCAGAAUUCAGUGAAUCAUCGAGUCUUUGAACGCACAUUGCGCCCCCUGGUAUUCCGGGGGGCAUGCCUGUCCGAGCGUCAUUGCUGCCCUCAAGCCCGGCUUGUGUGUUGGGUCGCCGUCCCCCUCUCCGGGGGGACGGGCCCGAAAGGCAGCGGCGGCACCGCGUCCGAUCCUCGAGCGUAUGGGGCUUUGUCACAUGCUCUGUAGGAUUGGCCGGCGCCUGCCGACGUUUUCCAACCAUUCUUUCCAGGUUGACCUCGGAUCAGGUAGGGGAUACCCGCUGAACUUAAGCAUAUCAAUAGCGGAGGAAU